This 77-nucleotide transfer RNA is filed under the name Alphaproteobacteria bacterium. Its description in RNAcentral is "tRNA-Pro". It matches the Rfam family "tRNA". From Rfam's summary of the family: Transfer RNA (tRNA) molecules are approximately 80 nucleotides in length. Their secondary structure includes four short double-helical elements and three loops (D, anti-codon, and T loops). The record is from RNAcentral. RNAcentral also lists the same sequence under 6 other names. Lineage: Bacteria; Pseudomonadati; Pseudomonadota; Alphaproteobacteria.
CGGGGCGUAGCUCAGCCUGGUAGAGCGCUUGCCUUGGGCGCAAGAGGCCGUCGGUUCGAAUCCGGCCGCCCCGACCA